RNAcentral lists this long non-coding RNA (845 nucleotides) under Gallus gallus (chicken). The record is from RNAcentral. Lineage: Eukaryota; Metazoa; Chordata; Aves; Galliformes; Phasianidae.
UGAGGUUUGGGGUAUGAAUCAUGCAGACUAAACAAUUGUUUUAUUGCAUUUACAGAGCACUUGAUUUAUAAUGCAGUCAGUUUGGUAAUAAAAUUCCUCUAUUGUAUAUCCUGAAUAAUUUCACCUCUUUCUGCAUCUCUCUGUUUUAAUUCUUUAUCAGGGUGUUUUAAAAAUGUCCUCAUGGAGGGGAGAUUACUGUUGUGUACAUAUAAAGUUACCUAUCUCAGACCUCAGUUAUAUCAUCACUGAGCAUACAGUGCUCAGCUGAGCCUUUGUCAGCUGCUGAUAUUAAGGACACAUUGAAGAACAGAUUUAUUGGGCUGCUGUCUGCAGUGAGCACACUAGAGGAGAAGUAAGACUGUCCCAUUGCAAGAGGUUUCAUUCUACUUCGUGCUGAACCAAAAGGAAUCGAUCAGUCUUCCAGGAAUGACACUGCCUUGGAAUGCCUCUUGCAGCUUUGCAGGAAGACCAGAGGGGCUGCACCUGGACCUGGGGAUUCCACCUAGGGCAGUAACAACCUUCCUGGGUAUCCUGAGCACGAGGAGACAAAUUUGCAGGGACAGCUGGAGGAGCACAUGGGAUGGUGUGCAGCACAGAGGAGGGAGCCGACAUGAGAAAAGCACCAAGAACAAUGUGAGCAUGACCCAGGACUGCCCACCUCCAGGCUCCUUGCAGCAACAUGCUGCUCCUUCCAGGUGGAGCCACAGCAAGACAACUGUGGGAACACAAUCUCAGACUUCAGCAUCCUCUGUUCCCAACCACUUUGCUACCCAACCUCCGAUGUCCGUUAAGCUCUCCUUUCCUAUGGUCAAGAUGAAGCCUAACGUGGUGGCUGGUUAUCUCAC